RNAcentral lists this ribosomal RNA (336 nucleotides) under uncultured bacterium. RNAcentral's name for it is "bacterial SSU rRNA". It matches the Rfam family "Bacterial small subunit ribosomal RNA", at positions 8 to 334 of the family's 1533-position model. The record is from RNAcentral.
AGGGUUUGAUUAUGGCUCAGGAUAAACGCUGGCGGCGUGCAUAACACAUUCAAGUCGAACGGAUUUAUCGGACAGCUUGCUGUUUGAGAAGAUUAGUGGCGGACGGGUGAGUAACGCGUGAGCAACCUGCCUUUGUGAGGGGAAUAACACAGGGAAACUUGUGCUAAUACCGCAUGACGCAUCGGAAAUGCAUGUUACUGAUGUUAAAGGAGCAAUCCGCACAAAGAUGGGCUCGCGUCUGAUUAGAUAGUUGGUGAGGUAACGGCUCACCAAGUCGACGAUCAGUAGCCGGACUGAGAGGUUGAACGGCCACAUUGGAACUGAGAAACGGUCCAG